UACGUAGGGGGCAAGCGUUGUCCGGAAUCAUUGGGCGUAAAGCGCGUGUAGGCGGUUCGGUAAGUCCGCUGUGAAAGUCGGGGGCUCAACCCUCGAAAGCCGGUGGAUACUGUCGGACUAGAGUGCGGAAGAGGCGAGUGGAAUUCCUGGUGUAGCGGUGAAAUGCGCAGAUAUCAGGAGGAACACCAGUUGCGAAGGCAGCUCGCUGGGACGUUACUGACGCUGAGACGCGAAAGCGUGGGGAGCAAACAGG
RNAcentral lists this ribosomal RNA (253 nucleotides) under uncultured bacterium. RNAcentral describes it as "partial 16S ribosomal RNA". It matches the Rfam family "Bacterial small subunit ribosomal RNA", at positions 524 to 776 of the family's 1533-position model. The record is from RNAcentral.